CGUAGGUGGCAAGCGUUGUCCGGAAUUAUUGGGCGUAAAGCGCGCGCAGGCGGUCCCUUAAGUCUGAUGUGAAAGCCCACGGCUCAACCGUGGAGGGUCAUUGGAAACUGGGGACUUGAGUGCAGAAGAGGAAAGUGGAGUUCCAUGUGUAGCGGUGAAAUGCGUAGAGAUGUGGAGGAACACCAGUGGCGAAGGCGACUUUCUGGUCUGUAACUGACGCUGAGGCGCGAAAGCGUGGGAGCAAACAGGAUU
Molecule: ribosomal RNA, 252 nt
Filed under: uncultured bacterium
Lineage: Bacteria
Description: partial 16S ribosomal RNA
Rfam family: Bacterial small subunit ribosomal RNA
Source: RNAcentral